Fukomys damarensis (Damara mole-rat) is the source of this 2741-nucleotide long non-coding RNA. Lineage: Eukaryota; Metazoa; Chordata; Mammalia; Rodentia; Bathyergidae. The record is from Ensembl.
AUGGCUGCUUGGGUUACGGCUCUGGCUGUGGUUGUGGGUCUGUCCGAGAUCAAGGUCAGGGCCCCAGGGUGCGGCUGGCACUGUGUGUUGGGAACCAGGCCUUGCUCUGGGGCCAGGACUGACACUGAGGAGAGGAAGGGCAGCGCCUCGACUGUGAAUGACCGUACACGGCCCAGUGCUGUUAACCUGACACUCGGCGACACAGAGCCCAGAGCAGGUGUCUGUCCCCAAGGGGGCUCCACCUGUGCCCUGGGCUCGGUCUCCCCAAGCAGAGGAAGAGGAAUCAUCUGGAGGGCAAGAGGAGCGGCUUUGCAGGGGGAAAGAGGGCUUAGGAUCAGCCCCUCAUCACCAACUCCGGGGAGCAUCGCAGGCCUCAUUUCAGCAGAGCCGGCAGCACAGGACAGAGGAAAAACAACCACAAAGAACUGGCCACAAGGACCCCAGAAGUCAUACUCUUGUUCUUGUUUGUUUGUUUUAUGUUUUUUGUUUCUUUGGUACCGGGCAUCAAAAAAGUCAUGCUUUUCUGCUGUACAGAGGAAAAGACAGGCUGGGGGCUUGGCAGGAACAUUCAAGAACAGCAGUCCCUACGCUGCUGCAGAGGCACACGCUCACCCAGACGGGAGGGAGCAUCCCUCAUGCCUCUCCUCUCCUCUGCUGCCUGUACUCUUUCUGGGCCGUCACCCACCUGGCCCAGGCUGGGUUCCAGGACGUGACAGCCUCUGCCCGCUCCUCCUCACCCCUGCAUCUUUGCACAAGUUCAGCCCCUCCUUGGUCCACAAGGAGCACUGCUCUCCACCCUGCAGGCCAGCUCACGAGAGGAAGAGGAAGAAAAACCGCAGACACCAGCAAAGCAACCGCACACCUGCCACUGUUUCCCCUGGUGGAGUUUCCCUCUGCCAUGGAAUGCAGAGCCAGUCUGGCAAGGAAAUCAAUCUGGGGACGGGGCAGUGUGGCUUGGGGUGACUGGGGCCCAGGGGUACCGGUGGGCAGUAUAUUGCUGAACUCAGUGCCAUUAAUUCAUUCACCAUCAACCUUGAAAAGUGUCAGAGGGGUAGAGAGAUCCUGGUCUAGUGCUGCUGGCUUGCUGUGUGACCUUGAACCUGUUGCUUGCCAUCUGUGAGCUGUCAUCAAUGACCUACGAGACUUGGCUCCUUCAAUAAUUCUCAACUUUAGGUGCACUGGGGAUCUUUCAAAACGUGCCCUUAGUUAGGUCCCUGCAGUGUAUGCCUGGACACAUCACUUUGCUGCUCUGUGCCUCAGUGUCUCCAGCCGCGCCUUCCCUGCAAGGACUGAAUGACCUGGUGUGUAAAGUUGCCCCACCUGCAGAGGAGGGACGAGGCACGCAGCUGUGGAAGCAGGGGCGGCAGCUUCAGACAGUGGCCCCUGCUGACCAUGUCCCCGGGCUCAGAGGGGCUGUGGUGAGCUUGACCGGGCUCUCCUGGCACAGAAGCUUCCCCACCUGCCCGGCCCCCGCUGCUGUGUCCUCCUGGGGUCCCACGAGCCAGUGUGGUGGGGGCCGCAGGCAGCCAGCUCCCCACGCGGUAGGGGCUGUGUGGAGAGAGGAGCGGCUGCCCAGCCACGCCUGCGAGCCCCACGGCCGUCCAUGCUGCAAUUCCACACUGGGAGGAGGUCCUCGGCCCUAGGGCUCCCCUGCCCUCCCCACUGCCUGCUGCGUCCCGUGGACCACAGAUGGCCGUGGCACUGGGGGUGACACCGAGAGCCUGCGGAGGAUCCCAUCUGGGUUCAAGUCCCAGCCCUGCCACUUGCUGGGGUGUGAUUUUCCCCUGAAACCUCGCACGGCAGGGGCAGACUGGUGGUGACUGGGCUGGGCCCACAGCUGGCUCCCUGCUAGAGCUGGGCCCUGUCUGUCAAGGAGGGCCAGGGUAUGUGACCUGGACUGGUGCACCUGCCUCCCCUGCUCCUCCCUCCUCUCUCUCUGCUUCCCUGCAGCCAUGCCAUGAGUCGCUCCCCUCUGCCAUGCUGUCCUGACUUGGAGCCGGCCCACAGCGGACUAAAACAUGAGCCAAAAUAAACCUCUCCUCUUUUAAGCUGUGGGUGUCCGGUAUUGUGUCUCCGUGAUGGGAAAGGUGACUAAGACAGGCUGUGUGACCUUAUGCAACAUACUCAACCUCUCUGUGUUCUAGUUUCCUCAGCCAUUAAAUGGGAAUGAAAAUUGAGUACCUACCCCCUGGGGCUGCCGGAGCACAGCCUGGCCGAGUCAGCCCCCCGAGAGCGCUGCUGGCUGCAGCCAUCGCAAUCACGUCGGGAUGAUCGGUGGGCACAGGGGUAUCCGCUUCAUGGCUACUGCACUUCAGCAGGGUGCUCCAUUGCCUGCCUCGACUGGGAUGCAGAUUUUUAGCCAAGGCAGCCCUCUGACUGAGUAGGGGUUGAGUGGGUGUCAAGAGGCCUCUUCUGCAGCAGGACGUCCAACUCAGAGAGCACAGCGAGCAUUCGAUGGCCUCACACACAGCCCGAGUGGCAGCUCAGGCAACAGAGUCACUCAGACUGUGCCCUCGACCUGAGGCUGGGGUGGGGAGGGCUUCUGGGGCCCCGUCUCUCCGGGUGGGCCUUGCACUCCACUCGCCACACCGGCCUCCAGCUGCUCAGCAAAACCCCACCCGUGUUCCUCAGGGCCAGGCUGUGGGCCCUGCGGGCUCAGGGUAUUCGUGCCUCACCGUGCUGGGCUGAGUCCUGUAGACGAGAUGCAGGGUGGACAGAAGUGGACUCUGCCCUCUGACCUG